RNAcentral lists this transfer RNA (64 nucleotides) under Rana coreana (Korean brown frog). Its description in RNAcentral is "tRNA-Cys". Lineage: Eukaryota; Metazoa; Chordata; Amphibia; Anura; Ranidae. The record is from RNAcentral.
GGCCCUGGGGUGUUACACGUGGGGUUGCAAACUCCAAGACGCAGGUUAACGCCUGCCGGGGCUU